CGAACGGGUGAGUAACGCGUGAGGAACCUGCCUCAAAGAGGGGGACAACAGUUGGAAACGACUGCUAAUACCGCAUAAGCCCACGGGUCGGCAUCGACCUGAGGGAAAAGGAGCAAUCCGCUUUGAGAUGGCCUCGCGUCCGAUUAGCUAGUUGGUGAGGUAAUGGCCCACCAAGGCGACGAUCGGUAGCCGGACUGAGAGGUUGAACGGCCACAUUGGGACUGAGAUACGGCCCAG
Molecule: ribosomal RNA, 237 nt
Filed under: uncultured bacterium
Lineage: Bacteria
Description: partial 16S ribosomal RNA
Rfam family: Bacterial small subunit ribosomal RNA
Source: RNAcentral